AUGGCAUCGGGCUGCAAGAUUGGCCUGUCCAUCCUCAAUGCUACCUGGCCAAUUUAGGGGCCCAGUGCCUCUGGAUGCUAGACUCUGGGGUCGAUUAUCUCCACCGGAAUGUAAUGGAUGAACAUGCAUGUGAUGGUGUCCAAGCCAGAACAGUGGGUAAAGCCAAUGGCUAUAAGAGGAGCCAAUCAGUACAUCUUUCAUCUCGAGGAAACUGAGAACCCAGGGGCUUUGAUUAAAGACAUUCAGGAGAAUGGGAUGAAGGUUGGCCUUGCCAUAAAACCAGGAACCUCAGUUCAGUAUUUGGCACCAUGGGCUAAUCAACUAGGUAUGACCUUGGUUAUGACAGUGGAACCAGGGUUUGGAGGGCAUAAAUUCAUGGAAGAUAUGAUGUUAAAGGUUCACUGGUUGAGGAUCCAGUUCCCAUCUUUGGCUAUAGAGGUCGCUGGUGGAAUAGAUCCUGACACUGUCCAUAGGUGUGCAGAGGCGAAGCUAACAUGAUUGUGUCUGGCAGUGCUAUGGUGAGGAGUGAAGACCCUAGAUCUGUGAUCAGCCUGUUAAGAAACAUUUGCUCAGAAGCUGCUCAGAAAGAUUCUCUUGAUUGA
This 602-nucleotide long non-coding RNA is filed under the name Homo sapiens (human). Its description in RNAcentral is "non-protein coding lnc-CABP7-2:1". Lineage: Eukaryota; Metazoa; Chordata; Mammalia; Primates; Hominidae. The record is from RNAcentral.